CUUUACCUCAUUACUUUCUUUGUUGCAGUCACAAAUAAGUUGGUUUCCAAACUAAGUUCCAACCAUGCAUGUUUCUAUCUGAUACACUAUGUUUUGAUUAUUUUCUUUACCUCCUUCCAUUAAUUGAUAUUGUACAUUUUUGUUCAGUUCGAGAGUUAGAUAGAGUUUGAUACAAAUCCCCUGUAUGCACUUAUGCAUGAAUCCAUUUACUGCCAGGGUGCUUUGUCAUAAUGGUCAGCUCAUAAGAUCAGGGGCGAAUUUGAGAGCUUUUUUGAUCCGAUCAAAGCUACAAAAGAUGGUCGUCCUGUAUAUUUUACUGGCGAGAUGGUAUUUCUGUGGAUGUUUGAGGAAAUCCAUGCUCUGAGACACUUCAAGGAAGCGGCUUAUCUACUGGCUGAGAAGAACGACUGGCCUCCACUGUAUGACGUGAACCGGCUAAAUAAUAA
Molecule: long non-coding RNA, 446 nt
Organism: Ananas comosus (pineapple)
Lineage: Eukaryota; Viridiplantae; Streptophyta; Magnoliopsida; Poales; Bromeliaceae
Exons: 3
Source: RefSeq, a predicted model, not a curated record